Molecule: ribosomal RNA, 549 nt
Filed under: uncultured Glomus
Lineage: Eukaryota; Fungi; Glomeromycota; Glomeromycetes; Glomerales; Glomeraceae
Description: SSU rRNA
Rfam family: Eukaryotic small subunit ribosomal RNA
Source: RNAcentral
UUGGAGGGCAAGUCUGGUGCCAGCAGCCGCGGUAAUUCCAGCUCCAAUAGCGUAUAUUAAAGUUGUUGCAGUUAAAAAGCUCGUAGUUGAAUUUCGGGAUCAUCAGGUUGGUCGUGCCAUUGGUAUGUACUAGCUUUGGUGGUUCCUACCUCUUGAAGAACCGUAAUGUCAUUAACUUGGUGUUGCGGGGAAUCAGGACUGUUACUUUGAAAAAAUUAGAGUGUUUAAAGCAGGCAAACGCUUGAAUACAUUAGCAUGGAAUAAUGAAAUAGGACGUUUGAUCUUAUUUUGUUGGUUUCUAGGAUCGACGUAAUGAUUAAUAGGGAUAGUUGGGGGCAUUAGUAUUCAAUUGUCAGAGGUGAAAUUCUUGGAUUUAUUGAAGACUAACUACUGCGAAAGCAUUUGCCAAGGAUGUUUUCAUUAAUCAAGAACGAAAGUUAGGGGAUCGAAGACGAUCAGAUACCGUCGUAGUCUUAACCAUAAACUAUGCCGACUAGGGAUCGGAUGAUGUUAAUUUUUUAAUGACUCGUUUGGCACCUUACGGGAAAC